UACGUAGGGCGCAAGCGUUGUCCGGAAUUAUUGGGCGUAAAGAGCUCGUAGGCGGUUUGUCGCGUCUGCUGUGAAAACCUCAGGCUCAACCUGGGGCUUGCAGUGGGUACGGGGCAGACUAGAGUACUGCAGGGGGAGACUGGAAUUCCUGGUGUAGCGGUGGAAUGGCGCAGAUAUCAGGAGGAACACCGGUGGCGAAGGCGGGGUCUCUGGGCAGUAACUGACGCUGAGGGAGCGAAAGCGUGGGGAGCGAACAGG
RNAcentral lists this ribosomal RNA (258 nucleotides) under uncultured bacterium. RNAcentral describes it as "partial 16S ribosomal RNA". It matches the Rfam family "Bacterial small subunit ribosomal RNA", at positions 524 to 776 of the family's 1533-position model. The record is from RNAcentral.